UACCACUUAGUUGUGUCGCCUUUGCUC
RNAcentral lists this small RNA (27 nucleotides) under Bombyx mori (domestic silkworm). RNAcentral's name for it is "piRNA piR-bmo-2092822". Lineage: Eukaryota; Metazoa; Arthropoda; Insecta; Lepidoptera; Bombycidae. The record is from RNAcentral.